Molecule: transfer RNA, 73 nt
Filed under: Candidatus Buchananbacteria bacterium RIFCSPHIGHO2_01_FULL_44_11
Lineage: Bacteria; Candidatus Buchananiibacteriota
Description: tRNA-Lys
Rfam family: tRNA
About the family: Transfer RNA (tRNA) molecules are approximately 80 nucleotides in length. Their secondary structure includes four short double-helical elements and three loops (D, anti-codon, and T loops).
Source: RNAcentral
GGGCGCAUAGCUCAGUCGGUAGAGCGGGACCCUUUUAAGGUCACGGUCGGGGGUUCGAGUCCCUCUGCGCCCA